RNAcentral lists this ribosomal RNA (497 nucleotides) under uncultured bacterium. Its description in RNAcentral is "partial 16S ribosomal RNA". It matches the Rfam family "Bacterial small subunit ribosomal RNA", at positions 28 to 507 of the family's 1533-position model. The record is from RNAcentral.
GACGAACGCUGGCGGCGUGCCUAAUACAUGCAAGUCGAGCGAACAGACGCGGAGCUUGCUCCUCUGACGUUAGCGGCGGAAGGGUGAGUAACACGUGGAUACCCUACCUAUAAGACUGGGAUAACUUCGGGAAACCGGAGCUAAUACCGGAUCAUAUAUUGAACCUCAUGGUUCAAUAGUGAAAGACGGUUUUGCUGUCACUUAUAGAUGGAUCCGCGCCGCAUUAGCUAGUUGGUAAGGUAACGGCUUACCAAGGCAACGAUGCGUAGCCGACCUGAGAGGGUGAUCGGCCACACGGGAGCGGAGACACGGUCCAGACGCCUGCGAGAGGCACCAGUAGGCAAUCUGCCGCAAUGGGCGAAAGCCUGACAGAGCAACGCCGCGUGAGUGAUGAAGGCCUUCGGAUCGUAAAACUCUGUUAUUAGGGAAGAACAAAUGUGUAAGUAACUAUACACGUCUUGACGGUACCUAAUCAGAGAGCCACGGCUAACUACGUG